AUGUGUCCAUACUCGAGAAAAAUGUGUCCAGGAACUUAUGAUUCUGAAUAUCGUAGUCUGAUUCAGGAAGACCCUUUUUUCGAAGAAGAAUGGUCCAGGAUCAGAUGGUUAGCCACUUGGCCAGUGAGGGGUGCUAGCUGUGGGAUGGGCCACAUGGUGGUGAGCAUCAGCUGCUUGCGAAAAUGCUUGCGCAGGACAAGAACCGGCUGGCAUGGCAUGUGUUGGUUCAACUUGGGACUUGGCUUCUGGGCUUUAAAAUUCUUCGCUGGGCGCCGUCAGCUAAAAUAUCAAGGUUCUUAG
Molecule: ribosomal RNA, 300 nt
Filed under: Triticum aestivum (bread wheat)
Lineage: Eukaryota; Viridiplantae; Streptophyta; Magnoliopsida; Poales; Poaceae
Description: partial small subunit ribosomal RNA
Source: RNAcentral